Molecule: ribosomal RNA, 680 nt
Filed under: uncultured Eubacteriales bacterium
Lineage: Bacteria; Bacillati; Bacillota; Clostridia; Eubacteriales
Description: bacterial SSU rRNA
Rfam family: Bacterial small subunit ribosomal RNA
Source: RNAcentral
GUCGAGCGAUGAAACUUUAACAGAACCCUUCGGGGCGAAGAUAAAGUGGAUUAGCGGCGGACGGGUGAGUAACACGUGAGUAACCUGCCUUAGACAUUGGGAUAGCCUCGGGAAACCGGGAUUAAUACCAAAUAAAAUCAUAAUGACACAUGUCAUAACGAUCAAAACUCCGGUGGUCUAAGAUGGACUCGCGUCCCAUUAGCUAGUUGGUAGAGUAAAAGCCUACCAAGGCGACGAUGGGUAGCCGGCCUGAGAGGGUGAACGGCCACAUUGGAACUGAGAAACGGUCCAAACUCCUACGGGAGGCAGCAGUGGGGAAUAUUGCACAAUGGAGGGAACUCUGAUGCAGCGACGCCGCGUGAACGAAGAAGGCUUUCGAGUCGUAAAGUUCUUUUAUAUGGGAAGAUAAUGACGGUACCAUAAGAAAAAGCCCCGGCUAACUACGUGCCAGCAGCCGCGGUAAUACGUAGGGGGCUAGCGUUGUCCGGAAUCACUGGGCGUAAAGGGUUCGCAGGCGGAAAUGCAAGUCAGAUGUAAAAGGCAGUAGCUUAACUACUGUAAGCAUUUGAAACUGCAUAUCUUGAGAAGAGUAGAGGUAAGUGGAAUUUUUAGUGUAGCGGUGAAAUGCGUAGAUAUUAAAAAGAAUACCGGUGGCGAAGGCGACUUACUGGGCUCAUUCU